CCUACGGGUGGCAGCAGUGGGGAAUAUUGGGCAAUGGGCGCAAGCCUGACCCAGCAACGCCGCGUGAAGGAAGACGGCUUUCGGGUUGUAAACUUCUUUUUUCAGGGACGAAGCAAGUGCCGGUACCUGAGGAAUAAGCCACGCCUAACUACGUGCCAGCGGCCGCGGUAAUCCGUAGGUGGCAAGCGUUAUCCGGAUUUACUGGGUGUAAAGGGCGUGUAGGCGGGAAAGCAAGUCAGAUGUGAAAAUCAUGGGCUCAACCGGUGGCCUGCAGUUGAAACUGUUUUUCUUGAGUACAGGAGAGGCAGACGGAAUUCGUAGUGUAGCGGUGAAAUGCGUAGAUAUUAGGAGGAACACCGGUGGCGAAGGCGGUCUGCUGGACAGCAACUGACGCUGAGGCGCGAAAGCGUGGGUAGCAAACAGGAUUAGAUACCCUUGUAGUC
RNAcentral lists this ribosomal RNA (443 nucleotides) under uncultured bacterium. RNAcentral's name for it is "partial 16S ribosomal RNA". It matches the Rfam family "Bacterial small subunit ribosomal RNA", at positions 338 to 795 of the family's 1533-position model. The record is from RNAcentral.